RNAcentral lists this long non-coding RNA (184 nucleotides) under Felis catus (domestic cat). Its description in RNAcentral is "lncRNA (ENSFCAG00000046338.2)". Lineage: Eukaryota; Metazoa; Chordata; Mammalia; Carnivora; Felidae. The record is from RNAcentral.
UUAUGGUUGUGAUAGGAAUGCAUUGAACAAAUAAUGAAAGUCACUUUUAUGUGCUUUUUUCCCACAGACUCCCAGAGUGGACUGAGUCUUUGAAAAGCCCAAUCACCAUUCCAGUCUUCAGGACAGGUGAAAACUCGAUAUACUUUUUUCUCCUUAGAAUCCAGGUUGCCCUUUGCUGUUGGUG